RNAcentral lists this transfer RNA (64 nucleotides) under Trigonopterus triradiatus. RNAcentral's name for it is "tRNA-Asp". It matches the Rfam family "tRNA". Rfam says of the family: Transfer RNA (tRNA) molecules are approximately 80 nucleotides in length. Their secondary structure includes four short double-helical elements and three loops (D, anti-codon, and T loops). Further hydrogen bonds mediate the characteristic L-shaped molecular structure. tRNAs have two regions of fundamental functional importance: the anti-codon, which is responsible for specific mRNA codon recognition, and the 3' end, to which the tRNAs corresponding amino acid is attached (by aminoacyl-tRNA synthetases). tRNAs cope with the degeneracy of the genetic code in two manners: having more than one tRNA (with a specific anti-codon) for a particular amino acid; and 'wobble' base-pairing, i.e. permitting non-standard base-pairing at the 3rd anti-codon position. The record is from RNAcentral. Lineage: Eukaryota; Metazoa; Arthropoda; Insecta; Coleoptera; Curculionidae.
AAAAAUUUAGUUAAACCUAUAACAUUAGCUUGUCAAGCUAAAAUUAUUUACACAAUAAUUUUUA